CGGCGAGUGAAGCGGCAACAGCUCAAAUUUGAAAUCUGGCGCAAGCCCGAGUUGUAAUUUGUAGAGGAUGCUUCUGGGUAGCGACCGGUCUAAGUUCCUUGGAACAGGACGUCAUAGAGGGUGAGAAUCCCGUAUGUGACCGGCCCGCACCCUUUACGUAGCUCCUUCGACGAGUCGAGUUGUUUGGGAAUGCAGCUCUAAAUGGGAGGUAAAUUUCUUCUAAAGCUAAAUACCGGCCAGAGACCGAUAGCGCACAAGUAGAGUGAUCGAAAGAUGAAAAGUACUUUGGAAAGAGAGUUAAAAAGCACGUGAAAUUGUUGAAAGGGAAGCGCCUGCAAUCAGACUUCGCGGCAGUGUUCCGCCGGUCUUCUGACCGGUUCAUUCUCUGUCGCGAGGCCAUCAUCGUCUCGGCCCGCUGGAUAAGACCUUGGGAAUGUAGCUCACCUUCGGGGGAGUGUUAUAGCUCAUGGUGAUGCAGCGAGGCUGGGGCGAGGUCCGCGCUUCGGCAAGGAUGAUGGCGUAAUGGUUGUCGGCGGCC
Molecule: ribosomal RNA, 538 nt
Filed under: Sphaerulina sp.
Lineage: Eukaryota; Fungi; Ascomycota; Dothideomycetes; Mycosphaerellales; Mycosphaerellaceae
Description: partial large subunit ribosomal RNA
Rfam family: Eukaryotic large subunit ribosomal RNA
Source: RNAcentral